UGCGUAGGCGGCGAUGUAAGUCAGUUGUGAAAUUCCCCGGCUCAACCGGCGGGACUGCGAUUGAUACUGCGUUGCUUGAAUCGGGUUGAGGCAGGCGGAAUGUGGCAUGUAGCGGUGAAAUGCUUAGAUAUGCCAUAGAACACCGAUUGCGAAGGCAGCUUGCUGGGCCUUGAUUGACGCUGAGGCAUGAAAGCGUGGGGAGUAAAUA
Molecule: ribosomal RNA, 208 nt
Filed under: uncultured bacterium
Lineage: Bacteria
Description: partial 16S ribosomal RNA
Rfam family: Bacterial small subunit ribosomal RNA
Source: RNAcentral